CUCGUAGGCGGUUUGUCGCGUCUGCCGUGAAAGUCCGGGGCUCAACUCCGGAUCUGCGGUGGGUACGGGCAGACUAGAGUGAUGUAGGGGAGACUGGAAUUCCUGGUGUAGCGGUGAAAUGCGCAGAUAUCAGGAGGAACACCGAUGGCGAAGGCAGGUCUCUGGGCAUUAACUGACGCUGAGGAGCGAAAGCAUGGGAGCGAACA
Molecule: ribosomal RNA, 206 nt
Filed under: uncultured bacterium
Lineage: Bacteria
Description: partial 16S ribosomal RNA
Rfam family: Bacterial small subunit ribosomal RNA
Source: RNAcentral